This 74-nucleotide transfer RNA is filed under the name Lawsonella clevelandensis. RNAcentral describes it as "tRNA-Ala(tgc)". It matches the Rfam family "tRNA". From Rfam's summary of the family: Transfer RNA (tRNA) molecules are approximately 80 nucleotides in length. Their secondary structure includes four short double-helical elements and three loops (D, anti-codon, and T loops). Lineage: Bacteria; Bacillati; Actinomycetota; Actinomycetes; Mycobacteriales; Lawsonellaceae. The record is from RNAcentral.
GGGGCAUUAGCUCAAUUGGUAGAGCGCCGCCUUUGCAAGGCGGAGGUCAGGGGUUCGAUUCCCCUAUGCUCCAC